GGAAGGUUCAACAACUCCAAAUGUGUAUUUAAAAAAAAAAAAAAAUCCCUCCUUUCCCUGCACCUCAGCUUCCAAGGUGGAAAAAUGUGCCUCUGACUGCUUGCAGGUUUCAAGACGGGAACAGAGAUGGGAGGAAUGGGAAGAGAAGGAGAGAAAAGACGGAGAGACAUCUCCCUCCAUUCCUGGGAGAACAAUCGCCUUUGUUCACAGCAGGCUGAGAGAGCUGCUUGGGAAACGCCGGAUCUGGGCUCAGGGCAGGCCACGAUGAUUGAUUAGCAAUGUCAUAUGACCCAGUCAGAGCCAAUGAGACACAAUGAGGCUUUUGCUGGGACUGGAGAGAAAGAGCAAAAGAGAACUUUUUCCUGCUGGACUUAACCUCAAGGGAUGUUAGGUUAGAGGUUCUAGCAGCCACCUUGUCAUCAUGGGGAGAAAGACCAUCUGAGAAGGAAGCCAAUCCCACAGAAGCGGAUCCAAGAUACCGGAAGAGUGAAACGGUCUUCUAAAGCUGUACCUGAAGUCACCUUACUCCUGCCAUUUUUUAGUCUGUGCGGCCCCGUGUCACGUUGUACCUGGUUAUAUGUGCUGAAGUCUCUGAGCUACUCCCACAGUCAAGCUGGUCACAAAUCGGAUUGGGCCUCAUUUUCACCCUGAAGGAAACUGAGGCUGAGAGUUGCUGAGGCCUGCCCUAAAGGUUGUGGCAAGAGACUCAGCUGGAGGUGAGGUUCCUCUCCUCUAACCUCAACAGGACUCUCCCCACUGGUACGCUACAACAGCUUGGAAGGUAAUCGCACUUGUCAGCGUGGGCUUUCCGGAAUAUGUGCUGCUCAUAUUCUGGGAAGGGCAGGCAGCGGGGGUGAGGGUGAGACAGGAAAUCUUUCUGGAGGCUCUGAAGCCAUUCCGGUUUUGGAGCAUCCCCAGCAACUCCCACAGAAUCAAGCCUUUUAAACUGCCUUUUGGAGAGGUUCGACUGAGAGCAAGGCUGCCUCAAUCUGCUUCUGCCCAACUUCCUUUCUGUGAGGCCCCACAAGAGGACUAGAGCAGCGCCCCAGGGAGGAUGCGAGGAGAAUGGGCUGAUUGAGCGAUGUGGGCACAGGGCUGGCUGGCUGCCACCGUGCUGUCUGUCAGCAGGCUACAGGGUGGCUUUUCUUCUUGGUUUGCUUGCAGAGCCAGGGAGGCUGGGUGCCAGGGAGAAUAUUUUCUUUGUUUGGGAAAAGCCGUGUCCAUCUGGCUUGCUCUGUAGCCUGUAGCCUCUCGCCUGAGAAGCUUUCCUGCCACUGGACAUGGAUCCCACUGGCAGGGUCUCUGCUGUGACCGACAGAAGAUGCCGGCCCUGGGAGAGGCAACCAGUGAGGGCCCUACACAGAGCAUGCCUGCGCCUGGACUGACCCAGCCUUCAGUUCAUCCACCCCACAGACAUUGGCUCAGGGUCUCCCCUGGUGGAAUGUGGACCAUGGCCUGUUGUUACAGGCUCAGGUAGAUUGUCGACAAUGGUGCUCCAGUAUUCUCGGCCUGGGGGAGCUUGCAUCCUGCAUAGCCCCUUAAUUUUUGCAGAUGAGGACACUGAGACUCAGAGAUCUGAAAUAGCUUGUCCAAGGUCACACAAGAAAGCCAGGUUCAAGGCCUGGCUCCACCACUGCCUUGUCUUGUGGCCUUGAGCAAGUUCCUUGGCCUUGCUGGGCCUGUUUCCUAAUCUCUGAAGGGGGAUAAGUACCUAGUCCACAAGGCUAAUGUGGGAGUUAAAUGAGAUGAUCCAGCUGAGGGCCUCAUCAAAGGCCCUCUGCUCAUGGGAGGAGUCCCGUACAGUCCACCUCCAUCUCUGAAUCUGCAUUACCCUUGUUUUAUUAUUGUCAUGCAGUUGGCAACAACCACUACAAUCAAAUGAAGACCUCGGAAGCCAAGGCUGUGCAGCUGUUGCACAAAGUUCCUCGAAAGUCCCUCUUGCCUUCCAUCCUCCCCAUGUUCCCACAUGGUAGAGAUGGCAAGUCUCCUUUCUUUCAUUUUACUGAUGAGAUAAAACUUCAGUCAAAGAUGUGUCCUAAACCUGUGCUCUCCACUUCCUGGUUUCCCUGCUCUUUCUGUCUCCACCUGCUGCCAAUUAGAAUAUUCCCACUGGUAGGAUAUUCCAGCCAUGAGGGCGCUGAGUGUGGGAAAGAAGGAAUACCCCCUCCCACCCCAAAUCAAUGGAAAUCACCUCAGCAUUCUUCUUACUGUUUUCUAUUUUUUCUUGGGUUCAUCUCCAGGGGCUGCGGGUUGGGGGCUAAGGACUGGGGGUCCUUGACUGACUGCACAGGGCUGGAUCUGACGGAGCAGAUAGAACGCAUUUCCCAGCUCUGGGGCUGUGGCCAGUGACAACUUUAACGGCAAAGAAUUACCAUCAAUUGUGUCCUGUGGCUGAAGGGAUUUAUGGACAUUUUAUGUGACUCUAUGGACACAGACCCAAGGUUCCAACUGAACAGAGCUGGGAAGAAACACAGUGGCCCUUGUUAAACGGAAAGAAUGAGUUUAAUGUAUACAGGGAGAGGGUAAGGGGUGGCGGUGGGGAGACAGAAGGAAAGGAGGUUCCCCGUGUUAAAUAUUUACAAUUUGGGACUUGGGUCCUGUAUUUCCAAAGGUGGUGGCAGGAGGGUGAUUUCCGUAAUAUAUUCCUCCCUCAAAACCCACCUUGCAUGAGAAACUGCAGCAGGCACAAAAUAUUGCUCAUGAAUAUUAAUCAGUAAACUCCCCCUGCCAGUUGGGAAUGGGGGCUGGUACUAAAAUACUCCCUCCCCAACCCCCAAAGGCAAACAGCCCCCAAGGAAAACCCUGAAGCCAGCUCCCCAGGCUGACAGCAGAAGUAUUCCUGGCCGUGGGGUCAGAGGGCAUGGCCAGGGGAGGGGUCAGCUUUGUUUCCACUGUGUGUUGGUGAAUGCCAAACCUUUAUGGAACUUUGCUAGCUGUGUUUUGGGCUAUUUAGCUGCAAAACCAAAAGAUUUAUUUUUUCCCUCUCUCUCCUUUUGGGUUUUGUCUUCCACUGGCAGCAGUAACAUAUGCAGGUCUGGAGGCCGUUAAGGCAGGCCAGGCUCUCUCCCAUCCGAAGAAAAGAAAAGACAGGUCUUAAUUAAAAGAGAACCCAACAUUUGUAAAGCCAGCACAAACAUUCCCAACAUCCACCACCAUUGCUUCUGUGAUCUUUUCAAUAGACAAAGGAAAAAUGAGUGGCAUGGGAGGCAUCUUUCAUGAUACAUUUUAUCUGUACAACCUGUUACCUUUUUUUUUUUUUUUUUUUUUUUUUUGAGAUGGAGUCUCGCUCUGUCACCCAGGCUGCAGUGCAGUGGCGCCAUCUCGGCUCACUGCAAGCUCUGCCUCCCGG
RNAcentral lists this long non-coding RNA (3349 nucleotides) under Homo sapiens (human). Its description in RNAcentral is "HSALNT0045912". The record is from RNAcentral. Lineage: Eukaryota; Metazoa; Chordata; Mammalia; Primates; Hominidae.